RNAcentral lists this transfer RNA (73 nucleotides) under Bacteroidaceae bacterium. RNAcentral describes it as "tRNA-Lys". It matches the Rfam family "tRNA". Rfam says of the family: Transfer RNA (tRNA) molecules are approximately 80 nucleotides in length. Their secondary structure includes four short double-helical elements and three loops (D, anti-codon, and T loops). Lineage: Bacteria; Pseudomonadati; Bacteroidota; Bacteroidia; Bacteroidales; Bacteroidaceae. The record is from RNAcentral.
GCGCUCUUAGCUCAGUUGGUAGAGCAUCUGACUCUUAAUCAGAGGGUCCAGGGUUCGAGCCCCUGAGGGCGUA